RNAcentral lists this ribosomal RNA (468 nucleotides) under uncultured bacterium. RNAcentral's name for it is "partial 16S ribosomal RNA". It matches the Rfam family "Bacterial small subunit ribosomal RNA", at positions 28 to 507 of the family's 1533-position model. The record is from RNAcentral.
GACGAACGCUGGCGGCGUGCUUAACACAUGCAAGUCGAACGGAAAGGCCCUGCUUUUGUGGGGUGCUCGAGUGUCGAACGGGUGAGUAACACGUGAGUAACCUGCCCUUGACUUUGGGAUAACUUCAGGAAACUGUGGCUAAUACCGGAUAGGAGCUCCGGCUGCAUGGUGGGGGUUGGAGAGUUUCGGCGGUUGGGGAUGGACUCGCGGCUUAUCAGCUUGUUGGUGGGGUAGUGGCUUACCAAGGCUUUGACGGGUAGCCGGCCUGAGAGGGUGACCGGCCACAUUGGGACUGAGAUACGGCCCAGACUCCUACGGGAGGCAGCAGUGGGGAAUAUUGCACAAUGGGCGGAAGCCUGAUGCAGCAACGCCGCGUGCGGGAUGACGGCCUUCGGGUUGUAAACCGCUUUCGCCUGUGACGAAGCGUGAGUGACGGUAAUGGGUAAAGAAGCACCGGCUAACUACGUG